UACAGAGGUCUCAAGCGUUGUUCGGAUUCAUUGGGCGUAAAGGGCGCGUAGGCGGCGGGGUAAGUCGGGUGUGAAAUCUCAGAGCUCAACUCUGAAACUGCACUCGAUACUGCUCUGCUUGAGGACUGGAGAGGAGACUGGAAUUCACGGUGUAGCAGUGAAAUGCGUAGAUAUCGUGAGGAAGACCAGUGGCGAAGGCGGGCCUCUGGACAGUUCCUGACGCUGAGGCACGAAGGCCAGGGGAGCAAACGGG
Molecule: ribosomal RNA, 253 nt
Filed under: uncultured bacterium
Lineage: Bacteria
Description: partial 16S ribosomal RNA
Rfam family: Bacterial small subunit ribosomal RNA
Source: RNAcentral